Long non-coding RNA from Strigops habroptila (Kakapo), 830 nucleotides. RefSeq lists it as uncharacterized. The transcript has 3 exons. The record is from RefSeq and is a predicted model, not a curated record. Lineage: Eukaryota; Metazoa; Chordata; Aves; Psittaciformes; Psittacidae.
CAUGAGGGCCUGUGGGGGGACAGCAUCCUCUGUAAAGACCUGUGCGCAGGCCAAGCUUCUCCGUAGGAGCCCGGGAAGGAGCUAGGUUCCCCUAUUGAGGACCGGAUGGGAGGCCAGGAUCAUCUACAGGAGCCAGGGAAGAAUCCAGACUCCUCUAUAAGGGAGUGGCCAGGCUCCCCCUAUAAGCACUGGCAGGGAGGCGAGGCUCGUCUAUAGGAGCCUAAGAGGAGGCCAGGUUCCCCUAUACGGACCUGUGGAGGGGCCAGGCUCUCCUAUAAGGCCGCGGGGGGAGGACUCGGGGAGGAGGGGCAGGCUCCUCCACAGGAGCCUGGGAGGAGGCCGGGUGUCUCUAUAAGGGUCUGUCGGGACGUCAAGCUGCUGCUAGAGGGAAUGUGAGGUGAGAAACCAAGCCCCUACUACUGAGGAUGCCGAGUGUGAGGUCUCUUCUUUCUACCCGUGUCAUAGCAGGACCUGGAAGUGCCAUUGGAGCAGGACAGCGUGAGCUGCAGUGCCUGAGGCAUCUCCAGCCACAGCGGGGCUGCUGGCUCAGCCUGGGGGACCAGGCAUCACUGACCCUCCUGCUCCCUGCCCUGGUGCUCGGCUGUCCCCAGGGAGCCACCGCUGGAGCCGAGGCCAAGCCCCACUGGAGCAGAAGGGAUGUCAUCCAGUCCCCAGAUGGAAGAGCCCCUGCAGAGCUCAGUCCCUCCUUGCAGAAGACAUCGUAGUCGAGGACCUAAUGAUCUUGAAUAGGCUUCCUUCCAGGAGAAGGAACCUGAACAUCCUAGGGUGCUUUGAAGGUGUAGCAGCCCCAGCCCUGACAAAAAGGGAAC